UACAGAGGUCCCGAGCGUUGUUUGGAUUCAUUGGGCGUAAAGGGUGCGUAGGCGGCGGGGAAAGUCUGAUGUGAAAUCCUGGGGCUCAACCCUGGAACUGCAUUGGAUACUUCCUUGCUAGAGUACUGGAGAGGAAACUGGAAUUUACGGUGUAGCAGUGAAAUGCGUAGAGAUCGUAAGGAAGACCAGUGGCGAAGGCGAGUUUCUGGACAGUUACUGACGCUGAGGCACGAAGGCCAGGGGAGCAAACGGG
Molecule: ribosomal RNA, 253 nt
Filed under: uncultured bacterium
Lineage: Bacteria
Description: partial 16S ribosomal RNA
Rfam family: Bacterial small subunit ribosomal RNA
Source: RNAcentral